Molecule: ribosomal RNA, 253 nt
Filed under: uncultured bacterium
Lineage: Bacteria
Description: partial 16S ribosomal RNA
Rfam family: Bacterial small subunit ribosomal RNA
Source: RNAcentral
UACGGAGGGUGCAAGCGUUGCUCGGAAUUAUUGGGCGUAAAGGGUGUGUAGGUGGCGCCGUAAGUCGGGUGUGAAAUUUCGGAGCUUAACUCCGAAACUGCAUUCGAUACUGCGGUGCUUGAGGGCUGGAGAGGAGACUGGAAUUUACGGUGUAGCAGUGGAAUGCGUAGAUAUCGUAAGGAAGACCAGUGGCGAAGGCGGGUCUCUGGACAGUUCCUGACACUGAGACACGAAGGCCAGGGGAGCAAACGGG